AUACGUAGGGAGCGAGCGUUGUCCGGAAUUACUGGGUGUAAAGGGAGCGUAGGCGGGAGUGCAAGUAAGAUGUGAAAUACAUGGGCUCAACCCAUGGGCUGCAUUUGAAACUGCAUUUCUUGAGUGACGUAGAGGUAAGCGGAAUUCCUGGUGUAGCGGUGAAAUGCGUAGAUAUCAGGAGGAACACCGGUGGCGAAGGCGGCUUACUGAGCUGUUAGUGACGCUGAGGCUCUAAAGCGUGUGGAGCAAACAGGAUUAGAUACCCUUGUAGUCCACGCCGUAAACGAUGAUUACUAGGUGUGGGGGGAUAGACCCCUUCCGUGCCGCAGUUCACACAAUAAUUAAUCCACCUGGGUAGUACGGCCGCAAGGUUGAAACUCAAAUGAAUUGACGGGG
RNAcentral lists this ribosomal RNA (396 nucleotides) under uncultured bacterium. RNAcentral's name for it is "partial 16S ribosomal RNA". It matches the Rfam family "Bacterial small subunit ribosomal RNA", at positions 523 to 918 of the family's 1533-position model. The record is from RNAcentral.